Long non-coding RNA from Nerophis lumbriciformis (worm pipefish), 357 nucleotides. RefSeq lists it as uncharacterized. The record is from RefSeq and is a predicted model, not a curated record. Lineage: Eukaryota; Metazoa; Chordata; Actinopteri; Syngnathiformes; Syngnathidae.
CCAUCCGUGUCUUCUAAAGCACGGUCAGUAAACGUAUACGAGGCACCACUUCCAACAAGACUCCUCCGGCAGGAAGCCAACUGCAACUGGUCUCCGGCACACGUCGCUGCCGCGCACGCCACUGCGAGAGGGGCGGGAGGAGAGGAGGAGGGAGAGGAGGAGGAGUCAGAGCCCACGGAGGAGUCAAGCCCACCCAAGCAAACAAACACGCAGCUCCUCAGAAUAACUCUCGGUCAAGCUGGGUGUGAUUAAAGACCGUCACAGGAUGUCCCCCACGACGACGACAACCAUGCAAAGAUGAUGAAGAUGAUGAUGAUGAUGAUGCUGAGGAGGAUGCGUGUGCUCCAUCGUCCGGUC